This 468-nucleotide ribosomal RNA is filed under the name uncultured bacterium. RNAcentral's name for it is "partial 16S ribosomal RNA". It matches the Rfam family "Bacterial small subunit ribosomal RNA", at positions 28 to 507 of the family's 1533-position model. The record is from RNAcentral.
GAUGAACGCUGGCGGCGUGCUUAACACAUGCAAGUCGAACGGUGAAGGCGGAGCUUGCUCUGCUGGAUCAGUGGCGAACGGGUGAGUAACACGUGAGCAAUCUGCCCCUGACUCUGGGAUAAGCGCUGGAAACGGCGUCUAAUACUGGAUACGAGCUGCUAAGGCAUCUUCAGCAGCUGGAAAGAACUUCGGUCAGGGAUGAGCUCGCGGCCUAUCAGCUUGUUGGUGAGGUAACGGCUCACCAAGGCGUCGACGGGUAGCCGGCCUGAGAGGGUGACCGGCCACACUGGGACUGAGACACGGCCCAGACUCCUACGGGAGGCAGCAGUGGGGAAUAUUGCACAAUGGGCGAAAGGCUGAUGCAGCAAAGCCGCGUGAGGGACGACGGCCUUCGGGUUGUAAAACUCUUUUAGCAGGGAAGAAGCGAAAGUGACGGUACCUGCAGAAAAAGCGCCGGCUAACUACGUG